ACUCCUACGGGAGGCAGCAGUGGGGAAUAUUGGACAAUGGGGGAAACCCUGAUCCAGCCAUGCCGCGUGUGUGAAGAAGGCCUUCGGGUUGUAAAGCACUUUCAGUGGGGAGGAAGGUUGUUGGUUAAUACCUAACAGCUGUGACGUUACCCACAGAAGAAGCACCGGCUAACUCCGUGCCAGCAGCCGCGGUAAUACGGAGGGUGCAAGCGUUAAUCGGAAUUACUGGGCGUAAAGCGUGCGCAGGCGGUCUGUUAAGCGAGAUGUGAAAGCCCCGGGCUCAACCUGGGAACUGCAUUUCGAACUGGCAGACUAGAGUCUUGUAGAGGGGGUAGAAUUCCAGGUGUAGCGGUGAAAUGCGUAGAGAUCUGGAGGAAUACCGGUGGCGAAGGCGGCCCCUGGACAAGACUGACGCUCAGGCACGAAAGCGUGGGAGCAAACAGGAUUAGAUACCCGUGGUAGGUCAGUC
This 469-nucleotide ribosomal RNA is filed under the name uncultured bacterium. RNAcentral describes it as "bacterial SSU rRNA". It matches the Rfam family "Bacterial small subunit ribosomal RNA", at positions 335 to 800 of the family's 1533-position model. The record is from RNAcentral.